GGCUAACGCUGGCGGCGUGUCUUAGCCAUGCAAGUCGAGCGGACUUAUGGGGUAACUUAUAAGUCAGCGGCGGACGGCGGAGUAACACGUAGCUAACCUACCCUCUGGACGGGGAUAACCUACCGAAAGGUGGGCUAAUACCCGAUGUAGUCAUCCUGUAUAGGGGUGAUGAAAGGUGGGCUUCUGUUUACAAGCUCAUGCUGGAGAGGGGGCUGCGGCCUAUCAGGUAGUUGGUAGGGUAAUAGCCUACCAAGCCGAUGACGGGUAGCCGGCCUGAGAGGGUGACCGGCCCGAGGGGCACUGAGAUACGGGUCCCACUCCUACGGGAGGCAGCAGGCUAGAAAUUUGGGCAAUGGGGGAAACCCUGACCCAGUGACGCCGCGUGCAGGAAGGAGCCCUUCGGGGUGUAAACUGCUGUCGUGUAGGGAGAAGGGUACUAAGGUGAACAAUCUUAGUACUUGACGGUACUACAGGAGGAAGCCCAGGCUAACCUCGUGCCAGCAGCCGCGGUAAGAUAGCGUACU
Molecule: ribosomal RNA, 524 nt
Filed under: uncultured bacterium
Lineage: Bacteria
Description: bacterial SSU rRNA
Rfam family: Bacterial small subunit ribosomal RNA
Source: RNAcentral